GAUGAAGAACGUAGCAAAAUGCGAUACUUGGUGUGAAUUGCAGAAUCCCGUGAACCAUCGAGUUUUUGAACGCAAGUUGCGCCCGAAGCCUUUUGGCCGAGGGCACGUCUGCCUGGGCGUCACGCAUCGCGUCGCCCCCCACAAUUCUCCGUAAAGGGAACUCGUGUUUUGGGGGCGGAUAUUGGUCUCCCGUGCUCAUGGCGUGGUUGGCCGAAAUAGGAGUCCCUUCGAUGGACGCACGAACUAGUGGUGGUCGUAAAAACCCUCGUCUUUUGUUUCGUGCUGUUAGUCGCAAGGGAAACUCUAAGAAAACCCCAACGUGUCGUCUUUUGACGGCGCUUCGACCGCGACCCCAGGUCAGGCGGGACUACCCGCUGAGUUUAAGCAUAUCAAUAAGCGGAGGA
This 404-nucleotide unclassified non-coding RNA is filed under the name soil metagenome. RNAcentral describes it as "partial contains 5.8S ribosomal RNA, internal transcribed spacer 2, and large subunit ribosomal RNA". The stretch from base 1 to 122 matches the Rfam family "5.8S ribosomal RNA", at positions 35 to 154 of the family's 154-position model. The record is from RNAcentral.